UGUAUUUAUUAGAUAAAAAACCAAUGCCCUUCGGGGCUUUUUGGUGAUUCAUGAUAACUUUACGGAUCGCAUAGCCUUGCGCUGGCGACGGUUCAUUCAAAUUUCUGCCCUAUCAACUUUCGAUGGUAAGGUAUUGGCUUACCAUGGUUUCAACGGGUAACGGGGAAUUAGGGUUCGAUUCCGGAGAGGGAGCCUGAGAAACGGCUACCACAUCCAAGGAAGGCAGCAGGCGCGCAAAUUACCCAAUCCCGACACGGGGAGGUAGUGACAAUAAAUACUGAUACAGGGCUCUUUUGGGUCUUGUAAUUGGAAUGAGUACAAUUUAAACCUCUUAACGAGGAACAAUUGGAGGGCAAGUCUGGUGCCAGCAGCCGCGGUAAUUCCAGCUCCAAUAGCGUAUAUUAAAGUUGUUGUGGUUAAAAAGCUCGUAGUUGAACCUUGGGCCUGGCCGUCCGGUCCGCCUCACCGCGUGUACUGGCUCGGCCGGGCCUUUCCCUCUGUGGAACCCCAUGCCCUUCACUGGGCGUGGCGGGGAACCAGG
RNAcentral lists this ribosomal RNA (541 nucleotides) under uncultured eukaryote. RNAcentral's name for it is "SSU rRNA". It matches the Rfam family "Eukaryotic small subunit ribosomal RNA", at positions 202 to 981 of the family's 1831-position model. The record is from RNAcentral.